This 77-nucleotide transfer RNA is filed under the name Candidatus Peribacteraceae bacterium. Its description in RNAcentral is "tRNA-Ile". It matches the Rfam family "tRNA". From Rfam's summary of the family: Transfer RNA (tRNA) molecules are approximately 80 nucleotides in length. Lineage: Bacteria; Candidatus Peregrinibacteriota; Candidatus Peribacteria; Candidatus Peribacterales. The record is from RNAcentral.
GGGCGAUUAGCUCAGCUGGUUAGAGCGCGACACUGAUAAUGUCGAGGUCAAUGGUUCAAGUCCAUUAUCGCCCACCA